This 494-nucleotide ribosomal RNA is filed under the name uncultured bacterium. RNAcentral's name for it is "partial 16S ribosomal RNA". It matches the Rfam family "Bacterial small subunit ribosomal RNA", at positions 28 to 507 of the family's 1533-position model. The record is from RNAcentral.
GACGAACGCUGGCGGCGUGCUUAACACAUGCAAGUCGAACGGAAAGGCCUGCUUUCCCUUGUGGAUUGCGGGUACUCGAGUGGCGAACGGGUGAGUAACACGUGAGUGAUCUGCCCCCAACUUGGGUAUAAGCCUGGGAAACUGGGUCUAAUUCCCGAUAGGACUGCAGGGUGGUGCCUGUGGUGGAAAACGAUUUUCUAGUGGUUGGGGAUGAGCUCGCGGCCUAUCAGCUUGUUGGUGGGGUAAUGGCCUACCAAGGCGGCGACGGGUAGCCGGCCUGGGAGGGUGGACGGCCACAUUGGGACUGAGAUACGGCCCAGACUCCUACGGGAGGCAGCAGUGGGGAAUAUUACACAAUGGGUGGAAGCCUGAUGCAGCGACGCCGCGUGGGGGAUGACGGCCUUCGGGUUGUAAACUCCUUUCGACCGCGAGGAAGCCACCUGGUUGGAAGGGUGGUGACGGUAGUGGUAGAAGAAGCACCGGCUAACUACGUG